RNAcentral lists this ribosomal RNA (261 nucleotides) under uncultured prokaryote. RNAcentral's name for it is "partial 16S ribosomal RNA". It matches the Rfam family "Bacterial small subunit ribosomal RNA", at positions 524 to 784 of the family's 1533-position model. The record is from RNAcentral.
UACGUAGGGCGCAAGCGUUGUCCGGAAUUAUUGGGCGUAAAGAGCUUGUAGGCGGUUUGUCGCGUCUGCUGUGAAAAUCCGGGGCUCAACCCCGGACUUGCAGUGGGUACGGGCAGACUAGAGUGUGGUAGGGGAGACUGGAAUUCCUGGUGUAGCGGUGAAAUGCGCAGAUAUCAGGAGGAACACCGAUGGCGAAGGCAGGUCUCUGGGCCACUACUGACGCUGAGAAGCGAAAGCAUGGGGAGCGAACAGGAUUAGAUA